AUUGAACGCUGGCGGCAGGCCUAACACAUGCAAGUCGAACGGUAGCACAGAGAGCUUACUCUCGGGUGACGAGUGGCGGACGGGUGAGUAAUGUCUGGGAAACUGCCCGAUGGAGGGGGAUAACUACUGGAAACGGUAGCUAAUACCGCAUAACGUCGCAAGACCAAAGGGGGGGAUCUUCGGGCCUCACACCAUCGGAUGUGCCCGGAUGGGAUUAGCUAGUAGGUGGGGUAAUGGCUCACCUAGGCGACGAUCCCUAGCUGGUCUGAGAGGAUGACCAGCCACACUGGAACUGAGACACGGUCCAGACUCCUACGGGAGGCAGCAGUGGGGAAUAUUGCACAAUGGGCGCAGGCCUGAUGCAGCCAUGCCGCGUGUAUGAAGAAGGCCUUCGGGUUGUAAAGUACUUUCAGCGGGGAGGAAGGCGGUGGAGUUAAUAACUUCACCGAUUGACGUUACCCGCAGAAGAAGCACCGGCUAACUCCGUGCCAGCAGCCGCGGUAA
This 504-nucleotide ribosomal RNA is filed under the name uncultured bacterium. RNAcentral's name for it is "partial 16S ribosomal RNA". It matches the Rfam family "Bacterial small subunit ribosomal RNA", at positions 30 to 523 of the family's 1533-position model. The record is from RNAcentral.